CCUACGGGAGGCAGCAGUGGGGAAUAUUGGACAAUGGGCGAAAGCCUGAUCCAGCAAUGCCGCGUGAGUGAAGAAGGCCUUCGGGUUGUAAAGCUCUUUUACCCGGGAUGAUAAUGACCGUACCGGGAGAAUAAGCCCCGGCUAACUCCGUGCCAGCAGCCGCGGUAAUACGGAGGGGGCUAGCGUUGUUCGGAAUUACUGGGCGUAAAGCGUGCGUAGGCGGCUUUGUAAGUCAGAGGUGAAAGCCCACGGCUCAACCGUGGAAUUGCCUUUGAGACUGCAUCGCUUGAACACGGGAGAGGUGAGUGGAAUUCCGAGUGUAGAGGUGAAAUUCGUAGAUAUUCGGAAGAACACCAGUGGCGAAGGCGGCUCACUGGACCGUUGUUGACGCUGAGGCACGAAAGCGUGGGGAGCAAACAGGAUUAGAUACCC
Molecule: ribosomal RNA, 432 nt
Filed under: uncultured bacterium
Lineage: Bacteria
Description: bacterial SSU rRNA
Rfam family: Bacterial small subunit ribosomal RNA
Source: RNAcentral